UAUCCUAAUUUUUGUAGUUCAUCAUAAUCUUAAACAUAGUAAGAUACAACUAAAAUGAUGAAUCAAAUGUCUCAUUUUAUUAUCAAAUAAAAAUAUUGUUACAUGAGUUGAAAGUUUAUAAAGAAAAAUUUCAUCGCAUCAUACAUACGAUUGACAUAUAAGGCACUCUUUUUUCAAUUACUGAUGCAUGUCGUAGCACGUCGAAAUUAACCCUACUCACUACUAUAUAGAUAGAUUGAGUCGGUAUCAUAUCCACAGAGAUCUAUGUCUGAUUAUUUUAAAAAUAAAAAAAAUAGAUUGAAAAAAAUUAAUAAAGAGACAAGAAAAUUAUAAUAAAAAAACUUUUUAUUAAUCUUAUAAAGCAUACAUAAAAGAAAGAUAAAAAUGUGAUACAAAAAAAUUAACUCCAAAUUGAAUCUUCUAGCUACACCCGAUGGUACGUAUGCUUCUUUGAAUUCUUUAUUUUCCUCCAUGC
This 475-nucleotide long non-coding RNA is filed under the name Elaeis guineensis (African oil palm). Its description in RNAcentral is "long non-coding RNA (EGUI_LNC061656)". Lineage: Eukaryota; Viridiplantae; Streptophyta; Magnoliopsida; Arecales; Arecaceae. The record is from RNAcentral.